CUACUCUUGACAUCCAGCGAAGCCUUUAGAGAUAGAGGCGUGCCUUCGGGAGCGCUGAGACAGGUGCUGCAUGGCUGUCGUCAGCUCGUGUUGUGAAAUGUUGGGUUAAGUCCCGCAACGAGCGCAACCCUUAUCCUUGUUUGCCAGCACGUAAUGGUGGGAACUCCAGGGAGACUGCCGGUGAUAAACCGGAGGAAGGUGGGGACGACGUCAAGUCAUCAUGGCCCUUACGAGUAGGGCUACACACGUGCUACAAUGGCAGAUACAGAGGGCAGCGAGACAGCGAUGUUUAGCGAAUCCCUUAAAGUUUGUCGUAGUCCGGAUUGGAGUCUGCAACUCGACUCCAUGAAGUCGGAAUCGCUAGUAAUCGUGGAUCAGAAUGCCACGGUGAAUACGUUCCCGGGUCUUGUACACACCGA
RNAcentral lists this ribosomal RNA (419 nucleotides) under Salinivibrio sp. enrichment culture clone TTGE_LM_6.1. RNAcentral's name for it is "bacterial SSU rRNA". It matches the Rfam family "Bacterial small subunit ribosomal RNA", at positions 975 to 1393 of the family's 1533-position model. Lineage: Bacteria; Pseudomonadati; Pseudomonadota; Gammaproteobacteria; Vibrionales; Vibrionaceae. The record is from RNAcentral.